CGUGUAGGCGGUCCGCUAAGUCUGAUGUGAAAGCCCGGGGCUCACCCCCGGAAGGGCAUUGGAAACUGGCGGACUCGAGUCCCGGAGAGGAGGGUGGAAUUCCUGGUGUAGCGGUGAAAUGCGUAGAUAUCAGGAGGAACACCGGUGGCGAAGGCGGCCCUCUGGACGGUGACUGACGCUGAGACGCGAAAGCGUGGGGGAGAAC
Molecule: ribosomal RNA, 205 nt
Filed under: uncultured bacterium
Lineage: Bacteria
Description: partial 16S ribosomal RNA
Rfam family: Bacterial small subunit ribosomal RNA
Source: RNAcentral